This 931-nucleotide ribosomal RNA is filed under the name uncultured methanogenic archaeon. RNAcentral's name for it is "bacterial SSU rRNA". It matches the Rfam family "Archaeal small subunit ribosomal RNA", at positions 116 to 1054 of the family's 1478-position model. Lineage: Archaea; Methanobacteriati; Methanobacteriota. The record is from RNAcentral.
AUGGAAGGGGAUAACCCCGGGAAACUGGGGAUAAUACCCUAUAGACUAUAGUGGCUGGAAUGCACGUAGUCGAAAGGUCCGCCGCCAUAGGAUGGGUCUGCGGCCGAUUAGGUUGUUGUUGGGGUAACGGCCCAACAAGCCUGUAUCGGUACGGGUUGUGGGAGCAAGAGCCCGGAGAUGGAUUCUGAGACACGAAUCCAGGCCCUACGGGGCGCAGCAGGCGCGAAAACUUUACAAUGCGGGAAACCGUGAUAGGGGAACUCCGAGUGCCCGUAAAAUCGGGCUGUCCAUCAGUUUAAAUAACUGGUGAAGAAAGGGCCGGGCAAGACCGGUGCCAGCCGCCGCGGUAAUACCGGCGGCUCGAGUGGUGGCCACUAUUACUGGGCUUAAAGCGUUCGUAGCUGGUUUGUUAAGUCUCUGGGGAAAUCUUCCGGCUCAACCGGAAGGCGUCUCAGGGAUACUGGCAGACUAGGGACCGGGAGAGGUGAGGGGUACUCCAGGGGUAGGAGUGAAAUCCUGUAAUCCUUGGGGGACCACCUGUGGCGAAGGCGCCUCACCAGAACGGCUCCGACAGUGAGGGACGAAAGCUGGGGGAGCAAACCGGAUUAGAUACCCGGGUAGUCCCAGCUGUAAACGAUGCGCGUUAGGUGUAUCAGUGACCACGAGUCACUGAGGUGCCGAAGAGAAAUCGUGAAACGUGCCGCCUGGGAAGUACGGUCGCAAGGCUGAAACUUAAAGGAAUUGGCGGGGGAGCACCACAACAGGUGGAGCCUGCGGUUUAAUCGGACUCAACGCCGGGAAACUCACCAGUUAAGACAGCUGAAUGAUAGUCGGGCUGAAGACUCUACUUGACUAGCUGAGAGGAGGUGCAUGGCCGUCGUCAGUUCGUACUGUGAAGCAUCCUGUUAAGUCAGGCAACGAGCGAGACCCA